CUUGGGGAUAACUCUACUCAUUAAGAAAAAAAAAUAACCUUGGUUCCUUUUUCUGUGUGUGUGUGUGUAAAUCCCAGCUCUUUCUAGCAGUGCUUCUCUUUCCCCCUGCAGUCUUUUGCCCAGCCCUGGUUGCAAGUCCUGCUUGUGAAUACCACGGAGUUGCAGCAGCUCUCCAUGUGCUGAAGGAAGAACACACAACUGGGACAAGGCCUUCCUGCAUCAUUUCAGAUGAGAGGAUGAAGAAAGCACAUACAUCGACCUUAGGCCACACAUGUGGUGCAAUGGCCUUGGAAGAAGACCUGCUUUCAGGAGGUUUUUGGCAUCCUCUACAACCAGCAAGUUGUUCCAGAAUCAACAGUUUUGGUCAAUGACUGACAAGGAAAGGCUGCUUUGCCUCAGUGCACCAGGAAGAAAUGAGCAGACAUGUGGCAGACACCUUAUUUGCACUGGUGGGACUAAUGCUUUUGAGGCAGUUUACGAAAGAUUGCAUGAAUUUUGUUGCUACUUGAGAUAUUGUGGCUUUGGAUAUCAUCAAAGCUGUGGCACAAGCACAGUCUUGAAGGUGAAACACAGAACCUUUCUUUGGCUCAAAAGAAGACAGAAUACUUGCCCUCAAUUGCCAUCUGGCACAGUGGAAAUCUCAGAGACAAAAAGAGCAGGUAACCAAACUGAC
This 673-nucleotide long non-coding RNA is filed under the name Parus major (Great Tit). Its description in RNAcentral is "lncRNA (ENSPMJG00000012797.1)". The record is from RNAcentral. Lineage: Eukaryota; Metazoa; Chordata; Aves; Passeriformes; Paridae.